RNAcentral lists this ribosomal RNA (1526 nucleotides) under Ignavibacteria bacterium. RNAcentral describes it as "bacterial SSU rRNA". It matches the Rfam family "Bacterial small subunit ribosomal RNA". Lineage: Bacteria; Pseudomonadati; Ignavibacteriota; Ignavibacteria. The record is from RNAcentral.
ACAACGGAGAGUUUGAUCCUGGCUCAGGACGAACGCUGGCGGCGUGCCUAACACAUGCAAGUCAGGGAGAAAAGGGUAGCAAUAUCCUGAGUAAACCGGCGAACGGGUGAGUAACACGUAGGCAACUUACCUUGUGAACGGGAAUAACCCCGGGAAACCGGAGCUAAUGCCCGAUGCAGUUCCGGUGGAGCAUUCCACCGGAAUGAAAGGUCCCGGUGCAAAUCGGGAUGUCACAAGAUGGGCCUGCGUCCCAUUAGAUAGUUGGCGGGGUAACGGCCCACCAAGUCAACGAUGGGUAGCUGGUCUGAGAGGACGACCAGCCACACUGGAACUGAGACACGGUCCAGACUUCUACGGAAGGCAGCAGUGAGGAAAUCCGUUAGGAUGUAAACCUCUUUUGCGGGGGAAGAAUGUGGCGCUUGGCGCCAUUGACGGUACCCCGUGAAUAAGCACCGGCCAACUACGUGCCAGCAGCCGCGGUAAUACGUAGGGUGCAAGCGUUGUCCGGAAUUACUGGGUGUAAAGGGUCCGCAGGCGGGCGAGCAAGUCGGUGGUGAAAUUCUUUGGCUCAACCAAAGGACUGCCUUCGAUACUGCUCGUCUUGAGUUCGAGAGAGGAUAAUGGAAUUCAUGGUGUAGCGGUGAAAUGCGUAGAGAUCAUGAAGAACACCAGUAGCGAAGGCGGUUAUCUGGCUCGAUACUGACGCUCAGGGACGAAAGCGUGGGGAGCAAACAGGAUUAGAUACCCUGGUAGUCCACGCCCUAAACGAUGGAUGUUCGGUGUCGGUCCCGCUGAGUACUUGUUCGCAAGUCCUCAGCGGGAUCGGUGCCUGAGCUAACGCGUUAAACAUCCCACCUGGGGAGUACGAUCGCAAGGUUGAAACUCAAAGGAAUUGACGGGGGCCCGCACAAGCAGUGGAGCAUGUGGUUCAAUUCGAUGCAACGCGAAGAACCUUACCUGGGUUUGAAAGGCAAGCGACAGGCGAUGAAAGUCGCUCUCCCCGCAAGGGGCGCUUGUACAGGUGCUGCAUGGCUGUCGUCAGCUCGUGCCGUGAGGUGUUAGGUUAAGUCCUGCAACGAGCGCAACCCCUGCACUUAGUUGCCAUCAGGUAAUGCUGGGCACUCUAAGUGGACUGCCUACGCAAGUAGUGAGGAAGGUGGGGAUGACGUCAAGUCCUCAUGGCCCUUAUACCCAGGGCCACACACGUGCUACAAUGGGUGAUACAAAGGGUUGCCAAGCCGCAAGGUGGAGCCAAUCCCAAAAAAUCAUCCUCAGUUCGGAUUGGGGUCUGAAACUCGACCCCAUGAAGCUGGAAUUGCUAGUAAUCGCGUAUCAGCACGACGCGGUGAAUACGUUCCCGGGCCUUGUACACACCGCCCGUCAAGCCAUGGAAACUAGGGGUACCCGAAAACGCUGCGCUAACCGCAAGGGAGCAGGCGUCUAAGGUAAAACUAGCGACUGGGGCUAAGUCGUAACAAGGUAGCCGUACCGGAAGGUGCGGCUGGAUCACCUCCUUUCUAAGGAGC